RNAcentral lists this ribosomal RNA (1293 nucleotides) under Ascogaster sp. CXX-2004. Its description in RNAcentral is "SSU rRNA". It matches the Rfam family "Eukaryotic small subunit ribosomal RNA", at positions 64 to 1303 of the family's 1831-position model. The record is from RNAcentral. Lineage: Eukaryota; Metazoa; Arthropoda; Insecta; Hymenoptera; Braconidae.
UACUUGCCGUAUUAAGGUGAAACCGCGAAUGGCUCAUUAAAUCAGUUAUGGUUCCUUAGAUUGUACCCACAUUUACUUGGAUAACUGUGGUAAUUCUAGAGCUAAUACAUGCAAACCAGAGUUCCGACCAGAGAUGGGAGGAACGCUUUUAUUAGAUCAAAACCAAUCGGUGGCUUCGGCCAUCGUUUACUUUGGUGACUCUGAAUAACUUUWAGCUGAUCGCAUGGUCYUGWACCRGCGACAAAUCUUUCAARUSUCUGCCUUAUCAACUGUCGAUGGUAGGUUCUGCGCCUACMAUGGUUGUAACGGGUAACGGGGAAUCAGGGUUCGAUUCCKGAGAGGGAGCCUGAGAAACGGCUACCACAUCCAAGGWAKGCAGCAGGCGCGCUAAAUKACCCACUCCYGKCACGGGGAGGUAGUGACGAARAAUAACGAUACGGGACUCAUCCGAGGCCUCGUAAUCGGAAUGAGUACACUUUAAAUCCUUUAACGAGGAACAAUUGGAGGGCAAGUCUGGUGCCAGCAGCCGCGGUAAUUCCAGCUCCAAUAGCGUAUAUUAAAGUUGUUGCGGUUAAAAAGCUCGUAGUUGAAUCUGUGUGCCACACUGUCGGUUCACCGCUCGCGGUGUAAACUGGCAUGCUUGUGGGACGUCCUACCGGUGGAUUUAGUAUUUAGUCGAAAGAUUUAAAUACGAUCCAAUAAUCCUGUCGCGGUGCUCUUAAUUGAGUGUCGAGAUGGGCCGGUACGUUUACUUUGAACAAAUUAGAGUGCUCAAAGCAGGCUAAUUAUUGCCUGAAUACUGUGUGCAUGGAAUAAUAGAAUAGGACCUCGGUUCUAUUUUGUUGGUUUUCGGAAGCCCGAGGUAAUGAUUAAUAGGGACAGAUGGGGGCAUUCGUAUUGCGACGUUAGAGGUGAAAUUCUUGGAUCGUCGCAAGACGAACAGAAGCGAAAGCAUUUGCCAAAAAUGUUUUCAUUAAUCAAGAACGAAAGUUAGAGGUUCGAAGGCGAUCAGAUACCGCCCUAGUUCUAACCAUAAACGAUGCCAGCUAGCGAUCCGCCGAAGUUCCUCCGAUGACUCGGCGGGCAGCUUCCGGGAAACCAAAGCUUUUGGGUUCCGGGGGAAGUAUGGUUGCAAAGCUGAAACUUAAAGGAAUUGACGGAAGGGCACCACCAGGAGUGGAGCCUGCGGCUUAAUUUGACUCAACACGGGAAACCUCACCAGGCCCGGACACCGGAAGGAUUGACAGAUUGAUAGCUCUUUCUUGAUUCGGUGGGUGGUGGUGCAUGGCCGUU